UGCCCUGAUGUAGAGAAAGCAUCAUGU
RNAcentral lists this non-coding RNA (27 nucleotides) under Rattus norvegicus (Norway rat). Lineage: Eukaryota; Metazoa; Chordata; Mammalia; Rodentia; Muridae. The record is from RNAcentral.